UUGAACGCUGGCGGUAUGCUUUACACAUGCAAGUCGAACGGGCUAUGGGGCUUGCUCCAUAGUUAGUGGCGAACGGGUGAGUAAUAUAUCGGAACAUAUCCGGAAGUGGGGGAUAACGUAGCGAAAGUUACGCUAAUACCGCAUAUGCCCUGAGGGGGAAAGCAGGGGACCGCAAGGCCUUGCGCGGACGGAGCGGCCGAUGGCAGAUUAGGUAGUUGGUGGGAUAAAAGCUUACCAAGCCGACGAUCUGUAGCUGGUCUGAGAGGACGACCAGCCACACUGGGACUGGGACACGGCCCAGACUCCUACGGGAGGCAGCAGUGGGGGAUUUUGGACAAUGGGGGAAACCCUGAUCCAGCCAUGCCGCGUGCAGGAUGAAGGCCUUCGGGUUGUAAACUGCUUUUGUACGGAACGAAAAGAUCUCUUCUAAUAAAGGGGGUUCAUGACGGUACCGUAAGAAUAAGCACCGGCUAACUACG
Molecule: ribosomal RNA, 479 nt
Filed under: uncultured bacterium
Lineage: Bacteria
Description: bacterial SSU rRNA
Rfam family: Bacterial small subunit ribosomal RNA
Source: RNAcentral